CUGACAAGUCCCACAUCAAAUAUAUCAGUACAUAGCUUUGGAUCCAUACUAUCAUUUUAUGAUAGACACUUGAUAGGGAGAAUUAAUACAGCAUAAAACAUGUCCAUACAACCCUUACACUUUACAGCAACUGUAAAAUAUACAUGUUCCACCUCAGGAACCGUUAAAGGGUGCAUUUUUAACUUAUUUUAUGUUUUUUUUAGCC
Molecule: long non-coding RNA, 205 nt
Filed under: Mytilus galloprovincialis (Mediterranean mussel)
Lineage: Eukaryota; Metazoa; Mollusca; Bivalvia; Mytilida; Mytilidae
Source: RNAcentral